Humulus lupulus (European hop) is the source of this 547-nucleotide long non-coding RNA. RefSeq lists it as uncharacterized. The transcript is spliced from 5 exons. The record is from RefSeq and is a predicted model, not a curated record. Lineage: Eukaryota; Viridiplantae; Streptophyta; Magnoliopsida; Rosales; Cannabaceae.
CGACGGCGGUUGGGGGGGUCUCGGGUCUGGGGUUGAUGGCGCAGGGGGUCGGGGUCAAGCUGUACGGCGGCAGGGAGAAUAUUCAUAGUCUGGUAUACUUUGGAGCUUGAGUUAAAGAAAAUCUUUGUUCAACUUUAUCUGUGUUUUUUCUUGGUGGACAAGCUAAGCAUUUGACUCAACCCAAGGCUGAGAAGAAAGAAGACAGACUUCAAAGAAACUAUUUUGCAACAAUUUGCAAGAGGCUAAAACUCUACUUGGAUAUUUAAGAGAACCAAGACAAUUAUAUAAGAGAACCAAUGCAAGACAAAAUUCUUCUUCAAGUUGUUGGGUAUUAUUUUCUUUCUUGCUUGUAAGAAUUAUGUAUAGUGAGGAUUUGAUGUAUUAUUUACAUUGAGAAUAAUGAAUUUUUAUUGAGAAUUAUAAUGAAUUUUCAUUGAGACUUAUUUAGUCUCAUGGAGAUUUGAUGUAUUAUUUAUAUUUCAAUUGUAUGAAUAAAUGUUGUAUGUAUAUGAAUUUUUAUUAUGAUAAAUAUAAUUUUUUUUACAAA